CCCAUGUUGCCAUGGCGAUGUGCUGGCGCAGCCUCUUUGCUAUUCCGCGCACGGAGCGUCUGGGCUGCAAAACCCCUCGGAGGACACGCUGGGGUCGGGGGGGGCAGCAUGGAGGGGGUGCCCUGCCUCACCCCCAUGCCUGCAGGGGGGGCUCCCUUGCAGUGUCCCUCUGCGGUGCUGGUGAUGGGGCAUGCCCCAUGGGGGUGGCCUGGUGCCCUGCCACCCCCUCACCGGGUGCCCCGGCUGGUCCCUGACACCCCUGUUGCUGGCAGGGCUCCCUUCUUGUGGGGGAGGGUUUGCAGUUAUAUAAACUCCCCAGGAACCAUUUCCUGCUGCCUCAUUAGUGAAGAUGGGUGUGUUAACGAGGCUCUCCCUACUAUGACAACGUGCGUCCCCUCUGCUACAGCGAUUCGGAUGCCGUGCUGCUCUGCUUCGACAUCAGCCGCCCUGAGACCCUGGACAGCGCAUCCAAGAAGUGGAAGACGGAGAUCCUGGACUACUGCCCCAACACCCGGGUGCUGCUCAUCGGCUGCAAGACAGACCUGCGGACGGACCUGAGCACCCUCAUGGAGCUCUCCCAUCAGAAGCAGGCGCCCAUCUCCUACGAGCAGGGCUGCGCUGCGGCCAAGCAGCUGGGAGCAGAGAGCUACCUGGAGUGCUCGGCCUUCACGUCGGAGAAGAGCGUGCACAGCAUCUUCCGGACUGUGUCCGGCAUCUGCCUCAGCAGACCCAGCCCGCAGCUGCCCAAGAGCCCCGCGCGCAGCCUCUCCAAGCGGCUCCUGCACCCGCCCA
Molecule: long non-coding RNA, 792 nt
Filed under: Struthio camelus australis
Lineage: Eukaryota; Metazoa; Chordata; Aves; Struthioniformes; Struthionidae
Description: lncRNA (ENSSCUG00000012599.1)
Source: RNAcentral